RNAcentral lists this ribosomal RNA (509 nucleotides) under uncultured bacterium. RNAcentral's name for it is "partial 16S ribosomal RNA". The record is from RNAcentral.
GGAGUUAGCCGGUGCUUCUUCUGUGAGUGAUGUCCUUCCUGCCGGCUAUUAACCCGCAGGCCUUCUUCCUCACUGAAAGUGCUUUACAACCCGAAGGCCUUCUUCACACACGCGGCAUGGCUGGAUCAGGGUUGCCCCCAUUGUCCAAUAUUCCCCACUGCUGCCUCCCGUAGGAGUCUGGGCCGUGUCUCAGUCCCAGUGUGGCUGAUCAUCCUCUCAGACCAGCUACGGAUCGUCGCCUUGGUGAGCCGUUACCUCACCAACCAGCUAAUCCGACAUAGGCUCAUCCGAUAGCGCGAGGCCCGAAGGUCCCCCGCUUUCCCCCGUAGGGCGUAUGCGGUAUUAGCCUGGGUUUCCCCAGGUUAUCCCCCACUACCGGGCAGAUUCCUAUGCAUUACUCACCCGUCCGCCGCUCGCCACCAGGGAGCAAGCUCCCCGUGCUGCCGCUCGACUUGCAUGUGUUAGGCCUGCCGCCACGCGUUCAUCUGAGCCAGAAUACAACUACUCGA